This is a non-coding RNA of Gossypium arboreum, 107 nucleotides long. The record is from Rfam. Lineage: Eukaryota; Viridiplantae; Streptophyta; Magnoliopsida; Malvales; Malvaceae.
AACCCAGGGUGAGGGCAUCUUCGUAAAAGGUCCUUGUAUCUCUCCCAUGCAUCGUAGAGUGUUUCUAAAUCCCUCUGCACAAAAGAGGAGAUAUCAUUACGUAAGUU